AGCAGGAGUAAAAAAUCCCCAAUUCGCGCCCCCCACCUCGGCGCCUCCUCCGUGUCGCCACCGUCUCCGCCGGCCGCCACCAUCUCUUUCCGCUCCUUUUCUGUUUUACUUUAUGGUCGGAUUGGAUGGAUUGUGAGGGUUUGCAUCUCAUUGAAAACCCUGGAUUCUGUAGCGAUCAUCUCCUGAUAGUAUAUACUGCAGCCGACACCUUCUACGUCACCGAUGAGCGGUCGAAGAAUCCCCCGUCGAGCAAAGAUGGGAUCGAUGAGGAGACGGAGACCAUGCCGCGGGUGGCACCUCAUCCGAGAGAGCGGCGUUCUUCUUAGACGGUGUCCUUUUCCCCGUACUUGUGAAUAUUUUCUUGCUUGUUGAUCAAUUAGAAGUGAUUUCAAAGAAUUAUCUGUGGCACGGGCAGGUCCUUCUCCAUUGGUUCUACUGCAAGAAGUCCUUUGCCCGCUUUAGCGUGAAGGUUUGCAUCUGGACCUUAAGCUUCACCUUAAAAUUUACUCUUUUUUUUUUUUUGGGUCUCUUGAGCAAUCGUUUUAUGUCUAUGUUUAUUUCAUUGAUAAACUGGAUUUUUGUUAAUUCGGUUGCUGCAAGCUGUGUGUGGUUAGCUUCGAAGUUGGAGGAAUGCCAAAAAAAAAGCAAAGCAUCUAAUGAUUGUCUUCCACAGAAUGGAAUGAAUGUAGAUGGGGAAAACCUGCCAAUAGAGCUAUUGGAUGUCUUUUCCAAGAUGUGUGUGGUUAGCUUCGAAGUUGGAGGAAUGCCCAAAAAAAGCAAAGCACCUAAUCAUUGUCUUCCACAGAAUGGAAUGAAUGUAGAAGGGGAAAACCUGCCAAUAGAGCUAUUGGAUGUCUUUUCCAAGAUGCAUUUGAUUGGCACAGAAAUAUACAGAGCUGAUGAAUGAUUUGGUUGGGACUGAGCAACAUUUGCUGAAAGAAAUGGACUUUAUUUGCCAUGUUGAACAUCCUCAUAAGUUUAUAUCCAACUAGCUUGCAACACUUGAAGUACCUCCUCAGCUGAGGCAGGAAGCCUGGAAUCUAGCAAAUGAGAGGUGCUUUCUUGUUUUAUUUUUGAUUUAUAAGAGCAUUGCUGUUCCUGAUGGUUAAUUGUCAUGGUAAUUUUAUCCUUAUACUAUUUCUUCAUAUAUUUUUCAUGUUCUAGAGAUUCUUUGAAUGAUUCAGAGUAUUUGUUAAUACUUGGCUUUUCAUUAUUCCAGCUUAUUAUUUCUUCCUUGUUGUUAUAUAUUUCUUGCCCAUAAACUGAUUUAUUAUAGAGCAUAAAGCUGCUUAUACUGAUCCCCCAUAGGACCUACAUUCAUUGGUGGGAGAACUGGUGCAGUGGAUUUGCCCUUUUUAUUCACAUAUAUUACCCAAAUACGGUGAGCAGAACUUAAAGAGUUGCAGUGUCGACCAUGAGUAUGAAACACAAUCUAGUUUUUACUUAUGUACGUCCGUUUCAUUACCCAGCAAUCAUGUAAGAGUUCAUUCAAUACCUAGCAGAUUCACUUGAACUAUAUCCUGCAUCCAUUUGAUCAUGAAAGUCCUCUGUUCUUAUAGGAUACCCGCGGCAUCAUUCAUCACGAGGCAUGUUGGCAUUCUUUUUAGCCUUAUCAUUUUUAUUUUUAUGGGAACCGAAGAGUUUUUUCAUUGAGACUUUAUGUAAACCUUUUCUGAAAAUUGCAGUGAAUAUCAUAGCUCACACAUCUUGUGGACGAGAUCGACAUGAGAAAGAUCGGCAUAGACAUCAUCCAUAUGAUUGAAUGAGCAUUGAUCAUUGUGGAACAAUUGAAACUUGUGACUUUUGCGCACUCGCUUGUUGUCAGGUGAUUUUCUGUUUCAGUUGCUGCUUAUGUUGAAUGAGAAGGUUGUAGCCGUAAUUCAAAGCGUGAUAGUGAAACUCCGACUCUUAUUACCAUCCGUCGGGCAUCUUCUUGUGUGACCAUCACAUUCUAAUCGCUGGACUAAGUACUGUCUAGCUACCAAGCGAUUACUGUGCCGAUGUGUAGUUCUUACAGCUGCUAAAAUCACUAUCUUUCUAGCUUUUUACAAACUUGAUUCCCUGUACUAUUCAAGAGUACCCAUCGCUUUUUUUUUUUGUUUCGGUUUUCUUGUGUGAUAUGUUUGCUGUUUUCUUGAGAGCUUUGUACUGUAGGCUGCCAGUGGUGCAUUGCAUCAUAUCAUUAUGUUCGAUAUGAUGCAACCAGAUAUGGUUUAGGAUCUGAUGAUGUUUAUG
This is a long non-coding RNA of Musa acuminata AAA Group (dessert banana), 2235 nucleotides long. RefSeq lists it as uncharacterized. The transcript has 6 exons. NCBI's taxonomy places the organism in Eukaryota, Viridiplantae, Streptophyta, Magnoliopsida, Zingiberales, Musaceae. The record is from RefSeq and is a predicted model, not a curated record.